AUUGAACGCUGGCGGCAGGCCUAACACAUGCAAGUCGAGCGGCAGCGGGAAAGUAGCUUGCUACUUUUGCCGGCGAGCGGCGGACGGGUGGGUAAUGCCUGGGAAAUUGCCCAGUCGAGGGGGAUAACAGUUGGAAACGACUGCUAAUACCGCAUACGCCCUACGGGGGAAAGCAGGGGACCUUCGGGCCUUGCGCGAUUGGAUAUGCCCAGGUGGGAUUAGCUAGUUGGUGAGGUAAUGGCUCACCAAGGCGACGAUCCCUAGCUGGUCUGAGAGGAUGAUCAGCCACACUGGAACUGAGACACGGUCCAGACUCCUACGGGAGGCAGCAGUGGGGAAUAUUGCACAAUGGGGGAAACCCUGAUGCAGCCAUGCCGCGUGUGUGAAGAAGGCCUUCGGGUUGUAAAGCACUUUCAGCGAGGAGGAAAGGUUGGUGCCUAAUACGUAUCAACUGUGACGUUACUCGCAGAAGAAGCACCGGCUAACUCCGUGCCAGCAGCCGCCGUAA
Molecule: ribosomal RNA, 508 nt
Filed under: uncultured bacterium
Lineage: Bacteria
Description: partial 16S ribosomal RNA
Rfam family: Bacterial small subunit ribosomal RNA
Source: RNAcentral